Molecule: non-coding RNA, 159 nt
Filed under: Pan troglodytes (chimpanzee)
Lineage: Eukaryota; Metazoa; Chordata; Mammalia; Primates; Hominidae
Source: Rfam by way of RNAcentral
GCUAGGCAUGGUGAUGUGUGCCUGUAGUCCCAGCUACCUGUGAGGCUGAGGCAGGAGGAUUGCUUAAGACCAGGAAUUUAAGGCUGUAGUGCGCCAUGAUCAUGCCUGUGAAUAGCCACUGCAUUCCAGCCUGGGCAACAUAGCAAGACCCUGUCUCUU